GUGGGGUGUUCACUACAGGCACUAUCUCAGAAUCUGAGCUUGCCCAGGGUCCUCGAGUACUGCAGGAAGCCAGAUGCAAGGCCUCCGGAAAGAGGGAUACCUGAUUUUUUGUUUUCAAUUUUUUCAGACUCCCACAAGACUCCGCCUUGCUUACCUGACUGUUCCCAACUCCUGCUGUUACGUAUCUCAAGCUGGCCUUGAACUUACUACAUAGACCAAGGAUGUCUCACUCUGCAGCAGGCCUUCUGUUACCACACCCUGUUGUACUUAGUGCUGGGGAUCCAGGCAGUGCUAAAGCAAGCAAGAACUCGGCCAACUGAGCCGGCACAUUUUGCUGUGAAGGAGUCACAGCAGAGGGAAGGCUGUGCUUUCACUAGAGGAUGCUAUUUAUCCACCAGGUUUUUCUGGACCAGGUCUCUACCUGGAAGAGUAUGCUUGUGCUAAUUCCUGCAGAACCAACCUCCUGCCCAUGUAAUUCUCUAGACAGGUCUAAUGUGUCCCUGGCAUUUCUCCAAACAUAGAUAAAUUCUCAGCUGUGGAACCACAAGUAACUUCUGGGACCAGAGAAAAUAGGGACAGAAGCCAGAUGGGCUGCCAGCUGCCGGCUGCAGAAAAAUAGAAGAGUUAAAAUAAGGGCUGAGGGAGCAAGAAGGGGCAAGGACUGGACUUCGCUGCUGUCAUCUUUCAAUAUUUAGAAAUCUAAACUUAUUGCACCAGGAAGUGGUGGUAGAUGGCUUUAAUCCCAGCACUCAAAAGGCAGAGGCAGGA
This is a long non-coding RNA of Mus musculus (house mouse), 768 nucleotides long. RefSeq annotates it as predicted gene, 53468. Lineage: Eukaryota; Metazoa; Chordata; Mammalia; Rodentia; Muridae. The transcript has 3 exons. The record is from RefSeq and is a predicted model, not a curated record.